GAGUUUGAUCCUGGCUCAGAACGAACGCUGGCGGCGUGGAUUAGGCAUGCAAGUCGUACGCGAAAGAGGGGGUAACUCCUCGAGUAGAGUGGCGAACGGGUGAGUAACGCGUGAGAAACCUGCCUUCAACUGGGGGAUAACACUCCUAACGGGGUGCUAAUACCGCAUGAGACCACGGAGUCGCAUGGCUCUGAGGUCAAAGGUGGCCUCUAUUUAUAAGCUACCGGUUGAAGAUGGUCUCGCGUCCCAUUAGCUAGUUGGCGGUGUAAAAGACCACCAAGGCAACGAUGGGUAGCUGGUCUGAGAGGAUGGUCAGCCACACUGGGACUGAGAUACGGCCCAGACUCCUACGGGAGGCAGCAGUCGAGAGGCUUCGGCAAUGGGGGAACCCCUGACCGAGCGACGCCGCGUGAGGGAUGAAGGCCCUUGGGUUGUAAACCUCUUUUGUUCGGGAAGAAGUGCGAUCAGGUUAAUAAUCUGGUCGUUUGACGGUACCGGACGAAUAAGCUCCGGCUAACUCCGUGCCAGCAGCCGCGGUAACACGGGGGGAGCAAGCGUUGUUCGGAAUCACUGGGCGUAAAGGGCGUGUAGGCGGUCAGGUAAGUGGGAUGUGAAAUGCCCCGGCUCACCCGGGGACCGGCAUCCCAAACUGCCUGGCUUGAGUAUGGGAGAGGAUGAGGGAAUUCCUGGU
This 691-nucleotide ribosomal RNA is filed under the name uncultured Latescibacterota bacterium. Its description in RNAcentral is "bacterial SSU rRNA". It matches the Rfam family "Bacterial small subunit ribosomal RNA", at positions 9 to 674 of the family's 1533-position model. The record is from RNAcentral. Lineage: Bacteria; Pseudomonadati; Candidatus Latescibacterota.